Molecule: ribosomal RNA, 253 nt
Filed under: uncultured bacterium
Lineage: Bacteria
Description: partial 16S ribosomal RNA
Rfam family: Bacterial small subunit ribosomal RNA
Source: RNAcentral
UACGUAGGGUCCGAGCGUUGUCCGGAAUUACUGGGCGUAAAGAGCUCGUAGGUGGUUUGUCGCGUUGUCCGUGAAAACUCACAGCUCAACUGUGGGCGUGCGGGCGAUACGGGCAGACUGGAGUACUGCAGGGGAGACUGGAAUUCCUGGUGUAGCGGUGGAAUGCGCAGAUAUCAGGAGGAACACCGGUGGCGAAGGCGGGACUCUGGGCCGAUACUGACGCUGAGGAGCGAAAGCGUGGGGAGCAAACAGG